AAUACGUGCGUCUCCGGCGAAUCGAGUGCCGAAUCUUAGCUCUUUUGUUUCUUGGGAAGGCCGGGGCGCCGGUUGCAAGGUGUACUGCCAACCUCCCAACCCCGCCCCCUUUCCUCUCUCUCUCGUUAUUUCCUGGCAAGCGGAGGCGGCGCGGGACGCCUUCUACGCGCGCUUGCAGAAGGAGGCGGACAAGAAAAGCCCACCGAGGUCCGCCUCCCCUACCUCUCCCCUCCCGAGCCCACAUCGUCAGGCAAUGCCGCCCAACCUGGGUCAAGCACUUCCAUCGGCAGUAUUUUGCCAAGAAGAGGGUGCGGAGGCUUCUCGACAGCGAUGAGUCCCGGAGAGAACCCAGCUCCCUCCCUCAGCCUCUGCUGCAGCAAGCAAUGGGGGGGGUGCAAGAAUGUGAUAGGAUCAUCAAGCAAUGAUCUGAAGGUGUCCUUUCUCCUGCAGGCUCUUUACUGUUUCGUAGAGGCUGCGAGUCACCGGCGUGAAGUGGAGGCCGAGAUCCUUGAGCCGCUGGUUCGAGAACUCAUAUGGCUGCUUCCGAGGAUUUACCUCAUCGGAGCACCUGCAAUGCCAUGAUUUUGAUCCGUGAGUACCAAGAAAUGAGCAGCAGUAUCUUCUUCUUCUAAUGCCAACAUUGGAGCAGUGGAAGAGGGCAAGACGGUAAGCAUAACAAUUGAUCUGAGUUUGACAAAAUGAUUGCUAGAAGGCUUAAAAAGUUCAGAAAAUGAUCGAGUAAUCGAGAAAUCUCACUCAAACAAAUUAAGAAAUAUAUGUUAUAGUGCCACCUAAGAGCUAUUUACAACUGUUUGUAUGAUGAGUAGAUGUAACUGAGUGAUUUUUUUUGCUUCUUAAAAAUAAUGAAUGAUGUUGAUUAUUAUUUUUUUUUAAAAAAAGAUCUAAUCGUGUUUAUCGAAUC
Molecule: non-coding RNA, 922 nt
Organism: Phoenix dactylifera (date palm)
Lineage: Eukaryota; Viridiplantae; Streptophyta; Magnoliopsida; Arecales; Arecaceae
Source: RefSeq, a predicted model, not a curated record